UAAUACAGAGGGUGCGAGCGUUAAUCGGAAUUACUGGGCGUAAAGCGUGCGUAGACGGUUAUUUAAGUCGGAUGUGAAAGCCCCGGGCUCAACCUGGGAAUUGCAUUCGAGACUGAAUAGCUAGGGUGCGGUAGAGGGAAGCGGAAUUUCCGGUGUAGCGGUGAAAUGCGUAGAUAUCGGAAGGAACAUCAGUGGCGAAAGCGGCUUCCUGGACCAGCACCGACGUUCAGGCACGAAAGCGUGGGGAGCAAACAGGAUUAGAUACCCUGGUAGUCCACGCCAUAAACGAUGAGGACUAGACGUUGGAGGGUUAAGCCUUUCAGUGUCGUAGCUAACGCGCUAAGUCCUCCGCCUGGGGAGUACGGCCGCAAGGUU
RNAcentral lists this ribosomal RNA (375 nucleotides) under uncultured bacterium. RNAcentral's name for it is "bacterial SSU rRNA". It matches the Rfam family "Bacterial small subunit ribosomal RNA", at positions 521 to 895 of the family's 1533-position model. The record is from RNAcentral.